Molecule: ribosomal RNA, 216 nt
Filed under: Glomeromycotina sp.
Lineage: Eukaryota; Fungi; Glomeromycota
Description: partial small subunit ribosomal RNA
Rfam family: Eukaryotic small subunit ribosomal RNA (bases 75-216)
Source: RNAcentral
GGGUCAGUAGGUUGGUCGUGCCACCGGUACGUACUGGUCUCACUGAUUCCUCCCUCCUGAAGAACCGUAAUGCCAUUAAUUUGGUGUUGCGGGGAAACAGGACUGCUACUUUGAAAAAAUUAGAGUGUUUAAAGCAAGCUAACGCUUGAAUACAUUAGCAUGGAAUAAUGAAAUAGGACGAUCGAUCCUAUUUUGUUGGUUUCUAGGAUUGACGUA